CCUACGGGAGGCAGCAGUCGAGAAUCAUUCACAAUGGGGGAAACCCUGAUGGUGCGACGCCGCGUGGGGGAAUGAAGGUCUUCGGAUUGUAAACCCCUGUCAUGUGGGAGCAAAUUAAAAAGAUAGUACCACACGAGGAAGAGACGGCUAACUCUGUGCCAGCAGCCGCGGUAAUACAGAGGUCUCAAGCGUUGUUCGGAAUCACUGGGCGUAAAGCGUGCGUAGGCUGUUUCGUAAGUCGUGUGUGAAAGGCGCGGGCUCAACCCGCGGACGGCACAUGAUACUGCGAGACUAGAGUAAUGGAGGGGGAACCGGAAUUCGCGGUGUAGCAGUGAAAUGCGUAGAUAGCGAGAGGAACACUCGUGGCGAAGGCGGGUUCCUGGACAUUAACUGACGCUGAGGCACGAAGGCCAGGGGAGCGAAAGGGAUUAGAUACCCCAGUAGUC
RNAcentral lists this ribosomal RNA (446 nucleotides) under uncultured bacterium. RNAcentral describes it as "partial 16S ribosomal RNA". It matches the Rfam family "Bacterial small subunit ribosomal RNA", at positions 338 to 795 of the family's 1533-position model. The record is from RNAcentral.